Molecule: transfer RNA, 67 nt
Filed under: Pronodularia japanensis
Lineage: Eukaryota; Metazoa; Mollusca; Bivalvia; Unionida; Unionidae
Description: tRNA-Cys
Source: RNAcentral
UGUCUUGUAGUAUAACUAACCAAUAUUACUGUAAACUGCAACUUUACCAAAGCAUUAGCCAAGACAU